CUUGAUGAACGCUAGCGACAGGCUUAACACAUGCAAGUCGAGGGUCAGCACAGGUAGCAAUACCGGGUGGCGACCGGCGCACGGGUGAGUAACGCGUAUGCAACUUACCUAUCAGAGGGGGAUAACCCGGCGAAAGUCGGACUAAUACCGCAUGAAGCAGGGGCCCCGCAUGGGGAUAUUUGCUAAAGAUUCAUCGCUGAUAGAUAGGCAUGCGUUCCAUUAGGCAGUUGGCGGGGUAACGGCCCACCAAACCGACGAUGGAUAGGGGUUCUGAGAGGAAGGUCCCCCACAUUGGUACUGAGACACGGACCAAACUCCUACGGGAGGCAGCAGUGAGGAAUAUUGGUCAAUGGCCGAGAGGCUGAACCAGCCAAGUCGCGUGAGGGAUGAAGGUUCUAUGGAUCGUAAACCUCUUUUAUAAGGGAAUAAAGUGCGGGACGUGUCCCGUUUUGUAUGUACCUUAUGAAUAAGGAUCGGCUAACUCCGUGCCAGCAGCCGCGGUAAUACGGAGGAUCCGAGCGUUAUCCGGAUUUAUUGGGUUUAAAGGGUGCGUAGGCGGCCUUUUAAGUCAGCGGUGAAAGUCUGUGGCUCAACCAUAGAAUUGCCGUUGAAACUGGGGGGCUUGAGUAUGUUUGAGGCAGGCGGAAUGCGUGGUGUAGCGGUGAAAUGCAUAGAUAUCACGCAGAACCCCGAUUGCGAAGGCAGCCUGCCAAGCCAUUACUGACGCUGAUGCACGAAAGCGUGGGGAUCAAACAGGAAUAGAUACCCUGGUAGUCCACGCAGUAAACGAUGAUCACUAGCUGUUUGGGAUACACUGUAAGCGGCACAGCGAAAGCGUUAAGUGAUCCACCUGGGGAGUACGCCGGCAACGGUGAAACUCAAAGGAAUUGACGGGGGCCCGCACAAGCGGAGGAACAUGUGGUUUAAUUCGAUGAUACGCGAGGAACCUUACCCGGGUUUGAACGCAUUCGGACCGAGGUGGAAACACCUUUUCUAGCAAUAGCCGUUUGCGAGGUGCUGCAUGGUUGUCGUCAGCUCGUGCCGUGAGGUGUCGGCUUAAGUGCCAUAACGAGCGCAACCCUUGCCACUAGUUACUAACAGGUAAAGCUGAGGACUCUGGUGGGACUGCCAGCGUAAGCUGCGAGGAAGGCGGGGAUGACGUCAAAUCAGCACGGCCCUUACAUCCGGGGCGACACACGUGUUACAAUGGCGUGGACAAAGGGAAGCCACCUGGCGACAGGGAGCGAAUCCCCAAACCACGUCUCAGUUCGGAUCGGAGUCUGCAACCCGACUCCGUGAAGCUGGAUUCGCUAGUAAUCGCGCAUCAGCCAUGGCGCGGUGAAUACGUUCCCGGGCCUUGUACACACCGCCCGUCAAGCCAUGGGAGCCGGGGGUACCAGAAGUCCGUAACCGCGAGGAUCGGCCUAGGGUAAAACUGG
RNAcentral lists this ribosomal RNA (1439 nucleotides) under uncultured organism. RNAcentral's name for it is "SSU rRNA". It matches the Rfam family "Bacterial small subunit ribosomal RNA". The record is from RNAcentral.